UUUUUUUUUUUUUUUACUUAUUUCCUACAAAUGUAGAUGAUUAUUCUACUUCAAAAUCUGUAAUCUAUCUUUCACAUCCUUAUACCCUGUCCCUUGCUUGAUCAUCCGUUAUGGUCUUUUUGAAUGAAGCGGGAAAAGCAAUUCUAUUUCAAAUCAUUCCUCACCCUUAGGCGGCUAAGCCAAGUUCCCAGUGGACAGGUUGAUAUUCGAGACAAAAUACCCUAUUUCUUUGUCAUUUUCAUUGAGAAGUUGAAUCAUAUCAUUAUGGAUAGUAGUGAGUGUAGCUUCCUUCCCAUAGGGAUCUUCCUCAUGGAAUGGAAUCCGCUGGUUUGACCCCGAAUUGCAAAUGUCCUGGACUUCUGGAGUUAAAUGAAACAUGUGAAUGCUAUCUCUUUUUUUGGCUGUAUCACAUGCUUAAACUAUUCAGGCAAAUCUGACAAAGAGCAAGUCUAUAAACAAUGCAAAAUCAUAAGUUGUAGUAUCUAGUGUUUAUUGAAGACAUUAGGAAUUGGAUUUGUAUUAAUUAUGCUCGGAAUUUAAUUUGUUGAAGUCUUUUUUUUUUAUUGGCAUACGUAGGAGUGUUCACAAGUCGGUUUGGGUAUUUUUGUUGCCUCAAUCCAAUCCAAUCCAAUUUAUAUUAACUUAUAUUCUAAACCGAAAUCAAACCGACCAACCCAAAACUUUGGAUUUAAUGAAUUAGUCAUUGGGUGAAAUUCUAUUCAGCCACGGUUUGCUUUGGUGCCGCCAAGUGAUAAUAUAUUUUAUUUCAUAAUUAAAAAUUACAUUAAUUAACUUCAAAAAAUUUAUAUUAAUAGAACAUUAAAAAAAUAUAAUCAUUAAAAAUUUAAAUAAACAAAC
RNAcentral lists this unclassified non-coding RNA (858 nucleotides) under Hevea brasiliensis (rubber tree). Lineage: Eukaryota; Viridiplantae; Streptophyta; Magnoliopsida; Malpighiales; Euphorbiaceae. The record is from RNAcentral.